RNAcentral lists this transfer RNA (73 nucleotides) under Candidatus Pacearchaeota archaeon. Its description in RNAcentral is "tRNA-Thr". It matches the Rfam family "tRNA". Rfam says of the family: Transfer RNA (tRNA) molecules are approximately 80 nucleotides in length. Their secondary structure includes four short double-helical elements and three loops (D, anti-codon, and T loops). Further hydrogen bonds mediate the characteristic L-shaped molecular structure. tRNAs have two regions of fundamental functional importance: the anti-codon, which is responsible for specific mRNA codon recognition, and the 3' end, to which the tRNAs corresponding amino acid is attached (by aminoacyl-tRNA synthetases). tRNAs cope with the degeneracy of the genetic code in two manners: having more than one tRNA (with a specific anti-codon) for a particular amino acid; and 'wobble' base-pairing, i.e. permitting non-standard base-pairing at the 3rd anti-codon position. The record is from RNAcentral. Lineage: Archaea; Nanobdellati.
GCCUUCGUAGCUCAGUUGACAGAGCGCAACACUCGUAAUGUUGAGGUCGCGGGUUUGACUCCCGCCGGAGGCU